ACUAAAGAGGAGGGAGUAGAGGGAGGAAGACAUAGGGGGCAAGCAGGUAAGGGAAUGACGUGGUGGAAAGCGUGGGCAGGGGUGUGUGAAAGACCGAGGUGAAAUCCCCGGGUUUAACCUGGGAACUGCAUUGGUGACUGCAGCGCUAGAGUAUGGCAGAGGGGGGUAGAAUGCCACGGGUAGCAGUGAAAUGCGUAGAGAUGUGGAGGAAUACCGAUGGCGAAGGCAGCCCCCUGGGCCAAUACUGACGCUCAUGCACGAAAGCGUGGGGAGCAAACAGGAUUAGAUACCCCUGUAGUC
This 300-nucleotide ribosomal RNA is filed under the name uncultured Sulfophobococcus sp. Its description in RNAcentral is "bacterial SSU rRNA". The stretch from base 52 to 300 matches the Rfam family "Bacterial small subunit ribosomal RNA", at positions 547 to 795 of the family's 1533-position model. Lineage: Archaea; Thermoproteati; Thermoproteota; Thermoprotei; Desulfurococcales; Desulfurococcaceae. The record is from RNAcentral.